ACAGACAGCAGUAGCCACGGUAAUACAGAGGGUGCGAGCGUUAAUCGGAUUUACUGGGCGUAAAGCGCACGUAGGCGGACUUUUAAGUCAGGGGUGAAAUCCCGGGGCUCAACCCCGGAACUGCCUUUGAUACUGGAAGUCUUGAGUAUGGUAGAGGUGAGUGGAAUUCCGAGUGUAGAGGUGAAAUUCGUAGAUAUUCGGAGGAACACCAGUGGCGAAGGCGGCUCACUGGACCAUUACUGACGCUGAGGUGCGAAAGCGUGGGGAGCAAACAGGAUUAGAUACCCGUGUAGUCCCUGUCUCUUAUAA
This 309-nucleotide ribosomal RNA is filed under the name uncultured bacterium. Its description in RNAcentral is "partial 16S ribosomal RNA". It matches the Rfam family "Bacterial small subunit ribosomal RNA", at positions 502 to 809 of the family's 1533-position model. The record is from RNAcentral.